CUACGUGCCAGCAGCCGCGGUAAUACGGAAGGUUCGGGCGUUAUCCGGAUUUAUUGGGUUUAAAGGGAGCGUAGGCCGUAGAUUAAGCGUGUUGUGAAAUGUAGAUGCUCAACAUCUGACUUGCAGCGCGAACUGGUUUACUAGAGUGUGCACAACGUAGGCGGAAUUCGUCGUGUAGCGGUGAAAUGCUUAGAUAUGACGAAGAACUCCGAUUGCGAAGGCAGCUUACGGGAGCACAACUGACGCUGAAGCUCGAAGGUGCGGGUAUCGAACAGGAUUAGAUACCCUGGUAGUCCGCACAGUAAACGAUGGAUGCCCGCUGUUGGUACUUGGUAUCAGCGGCUAAGCGAAAGCAUUAAGCAUCCCACCUGGGGAGUACGCCGGCAACGGUGAAACUCAAAGGAAUUGACGGGGGCCCGCACAAGCGGAGGAACAUGUGGUUUAAUUCGAUGAUACGCGAGGAACCUUACCCGGGCU
Molecule: ribosomal RNA, 477 nt
Filed under: uncultured bacterium
Lineage: Bacteria
Description: bacterial SSU rRNA
Rfam family: Bacterial small subunit ribosomal RNA
Source: RNAcentral